Molecule: ribosomal RNA, 1067 nt
Filed under: uncultured Basidiomycota
Lineage: Eukaryota; Fungi; Basidiomycota
Description: eukaryotic LSU rRNA
Rfam family: Eukaryotic large subunit ribosomal RNA (bases 633-1067)
Source: RNAcentral
CUUGGUCAUUUAGAGGAAGUAAAAGUCGUAACAAGGUUUCCGUAGGUGAACCUGCGGAAGGAUCAUUAAUGAAACUUGGGAGAGUUGAUGCUGGCGAAAGCAUGUGCUCAUUCUCCCUUAAUCCAUUCAACACCUGUGCACUCUGAGAGGGAGGAAAGCUUAUUCGGUCUUUGAUUAGAUCGGGUUGUUGUUUCUCUCCCCCUCCUUUUAAAACAAACUCUGAUAAUUGAAUGUUCAUUAGGCCGAAAGGCUAUAUAAUAAAACAACUUUUAACAACGGAUCUCUUGGCUCUCGCAUCGAUGAAGAACGCAGCGAAAUGCGAUAAGUAAUGUGAAUUGCAGAAUUCAGUGAAUCAUCGAAUCUUUGAACGCACCUUGCGCUCUCUGGUAUUCCGGAGAGCACGCCUGUUCGAGUGUCAUGAAACUCUCAAACAGAAUUAGCUUUAUUGUUUAAUUCUUGUUUGGAUUUGGACUCUUGCCGCGUUACUGCGGCUGGUCUUAAAAGUAUUAGCUGGUCUGUAAGAACCUUGGGUUUGACUUGGCGUGAUAAAUAUUCGCUGAGGACACUUUGGUGGCCUAAUUUCUUACUGGAUUGCUUCUAAUCGUCUUUACGGACAACUUAUAUUUCAAAUCUGACCUCGAAUCAGGUGGGACUACCCGCUGAACUUAAGCAUAUCAAUAAGCGGAGGAAAAGAAACUAACAAGGAUUCCCCUAGUAACGGCGAGUGAAGCGGGAUGAGCUCAAAUUUAAAAUCUGGUGGUCUUUGGCCAUCCGAGUUGUAAUCUAGAGAAGUGUUUUCCGUGCUGGACCGUGUACAAGUUUCCUGGAACGGAACGUCAUAGAGGGUGAGAAUCCCGUCCUUGACACGGACUACCAGUGCUCUGUGAUGCACUCUCAACGAGUCGAGUUGUUUGGGAUUGCAGCUCAAAAUGGGAGGUAAAUUCCUUCUAAAGCUAAAUAUUGGCGAGAGACCGAUAGCGAACAAGUACCGUGAGGGAAAGAUGAAAAGCACUUUGGAAAGAGAGUUAAACAGUACGUGAAAUUGUUAAAAGGGAAACGCUUGAAGU